UGAGCGGCGGACGGGUGAGUAACGCGUGGGUAACCUGCCUUACACUGGGGGAUAACAGUUAGAAAUGACUGCUAAUACCGCAUAAGCGCACAGGGCCGCAUGGUCUGGUGUGAAAAACUCCGGUGGUGUAAGAUGGACCCGCGUCUGAUUAGGUAGUUGGUGGGGUAACGGCCCACCAAGCCGACGAUCAGUAGCCGACCUGAGAGGGUGACCGGCCACAUUGGGACUGAGACACGGUCCAGACUCCUACGGGAGGCAGCAUG
RNAcentral lists this ribosomal RNA (263 nucleotides) under uncultured bacterium. RNAcentral's name for it is "partial 16S ribosomal RNA". It matches the Rfam family "Bacterial small subunit ribosomal RNA", at positions 92 to 353 of the family's 1533-position model. The record is from RNAcentral.